Molecule: transfer RNA, 82 nt
Filed under: Candidatus Gottesmanbacteria bacterium
Lineage: Bacteria; Candidatus Gottesmaniibacteriota
Description: tRNA-Leu
Rfam family: tRNA
About the family: Transfer RNA (tRNA) molecules are approximately 80 nucleotides in length.
Source: RNAcentral
GCUGGAGUGGCGGAACUGGUAGACGCGCAUGGUUUAGGACCAUGUGGGGUAACCCUUGGAGGUUCGAUUCCUCUCUCCAGCA